This 1171-nucleotide long non-coding RNA is filed under the name Sus scrofa (pig). RNAcentral's name for it is "lncRNA (ENSSSCG00040008692.1)". The record is from RNAcentral. Lineage: Eukaryota; Metazoa; Chordata; Mammalia; Artiodactyla; Suidae.
AGCUUCUCGAGAUCAACUGACAGCUCAUCAGAACAGCAUUGAUCUGGAAGGAGGGGUUCUCCAUGGUGGCCAGAUCAGGGUGAUGGUUUCACUCUCUACCUGAGGAAGGAAUGUGUCCUGCCGAGAUUUAUUAAAUUGAUGAAUCUCAUCGAUAAAAAGGAUGAUGUUCCUCUUGAAAAAGCUCUUCUCAUUCUGCGCUUGUUUGAUGAUAUCAUGCAUAUCAGCUGUCUUGGCGCUGGUUUCCGACAAGGUCACAUAUCUUACCCUCUUGCUGUUGAUGAUGAUGUGGGCCAGCGGGGUCUUGCAGCAGUCCGAGGCCCCCACAGGAUAAGCAAGGGCACCUGUUGGCUUCCAGCAGCCAGUGCAGCAUCUAAGGCCCUAUGGCACGGCCCUGCCCCACGAAGUCCUGCAGCGCGUUGGGCUACAGCUGGCACUGCCACCGGCCUGCCCUCCAGCAUCUACCACACCUCCUCUGCCUUGGAUGCCCGUGUAUGCGAGCACUCCCCAGGCCGAAGAUGGUGGCUUCCGCGUCCUCCUCGCCGACCGCGUCCCCGUCACCAGCCGCCUCUUCCUAGGGCGACUCCGCCUCGUCCCAGCUACUCGGGGACUUGCUGCCCGCAGCCGCCUGCUGCCCCGCGCCCUUCCUGCCCAGGCUGCCGAGCCCCGCCACCGGGAAGAGGUGCACGCCGCUGGGAGUGGGAGGCGUGUGGUAGCACUCAUGGCUCUCCGUCUCCCUGACGCCGCCACAGUCCGGCUCCUGAGCGUCUCCCUCGCUGCUCUCGGCAGCCGUCACUGUGGCCGGCUGUUGGAGCGCCGAGCUCUCCAACGGCCAACGCCGCAGUCAUCGGUCCACGUAAGAGUUGAUGUGCAGGGCGGGCACGGCCCGCUGGCACUGGAGACACCGCAUCCGGGGAACCGAACCGGUGAGACUGAAGGCCACUCACCUCCAUGGCGGCCCACGCCGUGCGUUGCCCCGGAGCUGCGCGACCCUCACUCGGGGAAGCGGCAGGACGCGCGCGGGCCAGGGGGGGCGCAGUCCAUGCCUCACAUCUUCCGCCCUCAGCCGGCGGCCCUGAUGCCUCGCGAGGCGCGGGGCGAAGGGGAAUUUUUGUUAACACUGAAUCUUUUCACAAUGUUCAUUGCCGAGACCAGCUCAACAGGAUUGCGCUGA